GAAUGUGAGUGACAUCUGGCUACAACACUCCCCAACCAGGUGAUUCUAGAUUGAUUUGGCUCACCUGGAUGGCUAAAGGGUGUCCUUCAUCUCACAUUGUUCCAAGUAGAGCCCUUCAAAAGCUGAGAAUUUGGUCAAAAAGGGAAAGCCUUCCAAAUAGAGGAGCACCUGUCUUUAGUCAGA
Molecule: non-coding RNA, 183 nt
Organism: Canis lupus familiaris (dog)
Lineage: Eukaryota; Metazoa; Chordata; Mammalia; Carnivora; Canidae
Source: Rfam